CCACUGAGUGCCUUGGGAGGUGGCGCCUAGGCCACGGCGGAGCCGCCCCUGCCGCUGCUCACCCGCCCUAGACGCCGCGACUUCUCCGUGGGGCCCGGGAUCCCAGGCUGCGGCCCGGGUGUUAGUGCGGGCUCCCCCCGCCCCCACUCCCGGCGUCCGGGCAAUUCUUCCUCCUGCCCGCAGAGCCGCGGAGGCCACUGCAUCUCUGCAUCGCCGCGAGAAUCUCCCAAACUUCGGUGGAACUGUCCCUCUGCUUCGGGGACUCCUCAGCGGGGAGAUGGCAGCACUGGGCCAGACCACGCUUGAAAAUGCAGAUGUCCUUCAUUACCUACUCCACACAGGGCCACACUCUUAUGGAGCUCACCUCAGACAGAAAUGAAAUAAGUGAUGGUCUCACUAAACUCCAGAAUAUAGUGCCUACCGGAGCCACAAAUAUGCAGGAAGGAUUUAAAAAGGCAAAUGAGCAGAUUGAACAAGAAAAUGCUAAAGAUCUGGCCUUCUAGUCCUCCAGAUGCUCGUGAUGGCAGGUGCUGAGGUCUGGGCACUUAUCCCUUGGAGAAGGAGGCAACAGUGCUACAAGUCUGAUUAUUGCUCUGAACACAGGACCACUGACACAAAAGGCAUUUGAGGAG
Molecule: long non-coding RNA, 632 nt
Organism: Lutra lutra (Eurasian river otter)
Lineage: Eukaryota; Metazoa; Chordata; Mammalia; Carnivora; Mustelidae
Exons: 6
Source: RefSeq, a predicted model, not a curated record